Molecule: ribosomal RNA, 340 nt
Rfam family: Microsporidia small subunit ribosomal RNA
UGGAUAGUAUUAUUUAUGAAAUUUAACGGAUUUGGCGGCAAGAUAGCCACUUAGAGGAACCUGCCCUGUAAACGAUGAGCCACGAUUAACCUUACUUUUACUAGAAUCCAGUUUGUAUACCGCUGUUGUCAGUUAGUUUCCCUAGAAAACUUUCGUACAUGAUAAAUUCAAGGACUUCAAGUAAAGGUGCAGCUUAUGUAAAAGAUAGAGGUGGGUUACAAUUAAAAGAAUAAUAUGGAUAAAGUAAAGAAAAAACUUUUGAAGGUGGAUUUAAUAGUAAAGUUUAAUAAGACUUGAUUAGAGCUCUAUCUUGUGUACACACCGCCCGUCGCUCGCGGGA